CCGGUUUGUAAGGAGGAGUUUGAGGUGGGAGGAGAAGCGAGGGAAUUGAACUGCAAGCACAUAUACCAUUCGGACUGCAUCGUGCCAUGGCUAAGGCUCCAUAACUCUUGUCCGGUGUGCAGGCAAGAGAUGCCGCCAUUGCCGCCAGCGCCGGAGAAUCGAGGACCGGGAAGUUCUCAGGACGGCGAAGGGAUUGGGAGAAGAUGUGCCCGUUGGUGGGGCCAGUUGGUUUCUAGGCCAUUUCGAAAUAGGUAUCGCCAGAUUACCCCUCACGACCAGGAGAACAUUCCUCCUCGAGAAGUAAAUUCGUGGGGUGGUUCAAUCUACCUCUCUUCCUUGGCCCUUCUAAUGUCGAUGUUUAUGCUGCAAGUAACCUGGUUUUUACUUGAACCUCUUCGUUAGGACUGUAAAAUAUAAACGCAAGUACGAAGGCACUGUGGAAAAGACAACAUAUCAUUACCACGGUGCAUUUGGAUUGAGAUUUGUCCUCAAUGAUAAAGUCUCCAACAUCUACCACUUCAUAUAUACCCAUUUAUUGUGUUAUCUAAAAGGAUGUUCAAUGUUGUAAACUAUGACAUUUUCUUACUACCCGUGACCCUUAUCACGUAAACUCAUUAAGAAAUGUGUUCUAGAACUACCAAAGAAUUUCUAUGUAAAUGAUAUAAUGUACUCAGUCUCCAAUUGGUUGAUAGAUUAAAGGUUAGC
This is a non-coding RNA of Momordica charantia (bitter melon), 705 nucleotides long. The record is from RefSeq and is a predicted model, not a curated record. Lineage: Eukaryota; Viridiplantae; Streptophyta; Magnoliopsida; Cucurbitales; Cucurbitaceae.